Molecule: ribosomal RNA, 301 nt
Filed under: uncultured bacterium
Lineage: Bacteria
Description: partial 16S ribosomal RNA
Rfam family: Bacterial small subunit ribosomal RNA
Source: RNAcentral
CAGUAGCCACGGUAAUACGAAGGGUGCAAGCGUUACUCGGAAUUACUGGGCGUAAAGCGUGCGUAGGUGGUUGUUUAAGUCUGCUGUGAAAGCCCUGGGCUCAACCUGGGAAUUGCAGUGGAUACUGGGCGACUAGAGUAAGGUAGAGGAUAGUGGAAUUUCCGGUGUAGCAGUGAAAUGCGUAGAGAUCGGAAGGAACAUCUGUGGCGAAGGCGACUAUCUGGGCCAUUACUGACACUGAGGCACGAAAGCGUGGGGAGCAAACAGGAUUAGAUACCCCCGUAGUCCCUGUCUCUUAUAC